Molecule: ribosomal RNA, 199 nt
Filed under: uncultured bacterium
Lineage: Bacteria
Description: partial 16S ribosomal RNA
Rfam family: Bacterial small subunit ribosomal RNA
Source: RNAcentral
ACGCUCGACACCUACGGGAGCAGCAGUGGGGAAUAUUGGGCAAUGGGCGAAAGCCUGACCCAGCAACGCCGCGUGAGGGAAGAAGGUUUUCGGAUUGUAAACCUCUGUCCUCAGGGACGAAGGACGUGACGGUACCUGAGGAGGAAGCCCCGGCUAACUACGUGCCACAGCCGCGGUAAUCUGAGCGGGCUGGCAAGGC